RNA transcript from Rattus rattus (black rat), 1016 nucleotides. It is a transcript of the gene named protein mono-ADP-ribosyltransferase PARP4-like, with no coding region annotated. NCBI's taxonomy places the organism in Eukaryota, Metazoa, Chordata, Mammalia, Rodentia, Muridae. The record is from RefSeq and is a predicted model, not a curated record. The transcript is spliced from 4 exons.
AUGGCGUCACUUCGGUCAGCUCUCUCAUUAGAUUAUUCUGCAUGGGACUGCGUUCUGGAAGAGGCCGACUCACUGGAUGAAGGUUCUUCUAAACGAAACAGAUGAGGCAGCAGCAUAUACAGCAUGCGAGUUUUUAACAAGUAUGGAGACUCCCUCACAUGAGGAGUUUGUCAUCGGUGAUGAUGAAGGCGGCAGAGUCCCGUGUCGUGGACUUCACUCUUUGCUCUACAGACUGAGGAUGGUUUUUGGAAAUUGACACCAGAACUAGGACUAAUACUAAAACUUAACGUAAAUGCUCUGCUCAAUUCUCUUGAAGAGAAGGGCAUUCGAUCUCUAGGUACAAAAGGAAGAGAGCAACUCCUGGACCUGAUCGCCACUUUACUCGUACUGCAGUUUCUUUAUACCAAGUUGGAACAAGAAGGAAUGGCUGCCGAAUCUCUGAUAAAGAUGGAUGACGUCCUCAUUUCUAGGAAUAUUCCAUGGGCUUUUGAGAACAUAAAGAAAGCAAGAGAAUGGGCCAGAAGAACAGAAAGACAGUAUCCAUCUAUUUGCCAACGGCUCGAGCUGGGUAAAGACUGGGAGUCAGCCACAAAGCAACUACUGGGAAUUCAGCCCCAAGGCAACACUUCCCUUCACCGAAUUCUACACUACAGUCAAGGCUGAAGCCAAUGGAGUUGCACUGUAAACCUUCCUCAUAUAUCUUUUGUUGCUCUUUUGGUUUUGUUUUUUCAAGACACGGUUUCUCUGUGAAGCCCUGGCUGUCCUGGAACGCACUCUGAACAGCAGGCUGGCCUCACAUUCAAGGGACCUGCUGGCCUCUGCGUUCCAAGUGCUGGGUUUAAAGGUGUGUGCGCCACUGCCCUGCUGCCUUUCUCAUAUUUAGAAAAUAAUCAAAUAAUAAAAGGUAUCAAUAAUGACAUGUAAUCUGUUUUAAGUGUAGCUAUCAUCUCCUUUAAAAUAAAAUUAAUGGAAAGAAUUGAUUAAUCAUUUAACGACAAUAAAAGCUGUAAGAACUA